Molecule: long non-coding RNA, 275 nt
Filed under: Olea europaea (common olive)
Lineage: Eukaryota; Viridiplantae; Streptophyta; Magnoliopsida; Lamiales; Oleaceae
Description: long non-coding RNA (OEUR_LNC011710)
Source: RNAcentral
UCGUGGUUAUCAAGAAGUGCAGUUAUCAAAGCAGUUAUUGAAGCAGCCCUAUCACAUUCCACGAUUCAAGGAAUUCAAUCGAAAGCGGUUGAACGAUGAAGGGUAAUGGCAGCAGUUAAAAGGCAGUUUUCAUGACAAAGUGGCCAUUACGAAGAAAGUGGGUAGUUAUAGGACGAUCAAGCAGUUUUUAGAGUAGUUGAUCACAAAGAGAUCGUCUAUGAAAUAUAAAAGGGAGAAAGGACAUAGAAGCAAAGGACCGAAUCCAAAACUCUCGA